GCGGUUUGGGAUCAUUAUGCCAGCAUCCUUGAUAAAAUCGCAGUCCUCGGUCUAGGCAGGCAGCAUCAACGCAGGCUAUAACACUUCACCGAAGCAAAGUCACAUUCCUACGCCAUUAUCCUACCGCCCAAACCGAUGCUGGCCCGAUAAGCUGCGGGUCACCCCGCCACGAAGGCAAGGCUCACAAAAUAUCGAGUCUGAUCUCAAACCCUUCCCUUUCAACAAUUUCACGUACUUUUUCACUCUCUUUUCAAAGUUCUUUUCAUCUUUCCAUCACUGUACUUGUUCGCUAUCGGUCUCUCGCCAAUAUUUAGCUUUAGAUGGAAUUUACCACCCACUUAAAGCUGCAUUCCCAAACAACUCGACUCUUCGAAAGCACCUUACAUAGGAUUGGGCAUCUCAUCGCACGGGAUUCUCACCCUCUGUGACGUCCUGUUCCAAGAAACAUAGACAAGAGCCAACCCCAAGGUUACAAUCUUCAAAUUACAACUCGGACACCGAAGGUGCCAGAUUUCAAAUUUGAGCUUUUGCCGCUUCACUCGCCGCUACUAAGGCAAUCCCUGUUGGUUU
This 570-nucleotide ribosomal RNA is filed under the name Meyerozyma guilliermondii. RNAcentral describes it as "partial large subunit ribosomal RNA". The record is from RNAcentral. Lineage: Eukaryota; Fungi; Ascomycota; Pichiomycetes; Serinales; Debaryomycetaceae.